This 560-nucleotide unclassified non-coding RNA is filed under the name Hevea brasiliensis (rubber tree). The record is from RNAcentral. Lineage: Eukaryota; Viridiplantae; Streptophyta; Magnoliopsida; Malpighiales; Euphorbiaceae.
CUGAUACAAGAAAAUCUACUCAUUAUACACAUUCAUUUUACAGCUUACACCAUCUUAAUGUACAACUGUUGGUAGUGUAGCUUAAAUUCUAAAUCUAUACAUUCAUAUAUAUAGCAAGCAGAGCUAAAGUUAAGCACUAAUUGCAGUAUUGUUUGUUUUCGAGUUUGGCAAUGUGAAACUGCGCAGUGUAGGUGUUGGAAGAGCGUUCCAACACAGGAGGUUCGUUUAGAAAUUCCCAGUUGCUCCUACUCCACCUGCACCACAUAGGAGAUAUGAUGUUACUAUUCUAUUUAAGGCUCCAGGGGUUUGUAAAUACUAUCUCACCAGCCAUUUUUCUUUAUGAGUUCCUCCAAGCUUUUUCCAGUUUCCAUGUCCAUGAGACUCCCCAUUGUGUUGGCCUCGGGUAGAAGCUUGAUCUCUCAAGCUUCGUUCCACAGUCGUCAUCAUAUUUAGUAUUCCUGGAAUCAAACAGACUUCAAUAUUGUGAAAAAUGUUACAGAAUUAAACCUGAAUUGCUCUGAGAUGUUCCUCCUCUAUUUUCUUCUUUAAUUUCCAGUAAG